CAGCCGUAAACAAUGUGCGUUAGGUGUGUCGGUAACCACGCGUUACUGAUGCGCCGAAGAGAAAUCGUGAAACGCACCACCUGGGAAGUACGGUCGCAAGGCUGAAACUUAAAGGAAUUAGGCGGGGGAGCACCACAACAGGUGGAGCCUGCGGUUUAAUUGGAUUCAACGCCGGACAUCUCACCGGAUAAGACAGCUGAAUGAUUGUCAAUCUGAAGGUUUUACAUGACUAGCUGAGAGGUGGUGCAUGGCGUCAGUGACU
RNAcentral lists this ribosomal RNA (262 nucleotides) under uncultured archaeon. RNAcentral describes it as "partial 16S ribosomal RNA". It matches the Rfam family "Archaeal small subunit ribosomal RNA", at positions 748 to 1008 of the family's 1478-position model. The record is from RNAcentral.